Bradysia coprophila is the source of this 885-nucleotide unclassified non-coding RNA. Lineage: Eukaryota; Metazoa; Arthropoda; Insecta; Diptera; Sciaridae. The record is from RefSeq and is a predicted model, not a curated record.
CUUCCUCCAGUUCACGUUUUGUUACAUCACCCAAUAUGGUAAUGUGAUGAUAGCUUCCGUAAAUAGCUGGACGGAGUAAGUCGUUAAAUCCCGCAUUUAUAAGCGCAUAUCGUUUCGAGCCCAUUGUUUUUACUGCAUGCACUUUAGUAACAAGAGUCCCACUUUCGGCGACUAGAAAACGACCCGGUUCCACUUCUAAUGUUAUUGAAUGUCCAAAAUGAUUUUCGAUUUUCUUUCUUGCUGCAUCCCACAAAUCAAAAUAGUUAGUACCCGAUCCAUCAACGUUGGCAACAUCGACAUCCGGUUCAUCUUCAAGGUAUGAUAUUGGAAUGCCUCCACCUGCUGAAAUCGCUUUAAUGUCAUGAUUACAUUCAAUUACGCACUGAACCAUGGCACUGCAAGCAUUUUCUAAUUUAUUCGAAAACGAUCCCGAGCCUAAGUGCAUAUGAAAUCCUACUAAAUUUAAGCGAAAAUCUGUAACCACACACAACGCUUCGGCUAAAUCUUCAAACCAAAUUCCAUGUUUGCUAUUUUCGCCUCCUGUGUUUGUCUUCUUACUAUGUCCAUAACCAAAUCCCGGGUUUAUCCGGGUAUAUUCCUCAGGCUGUACUGAACUAUCGACGAAAAAGUACCGUAGGUUGGAGCAUAGAAAAUAUUCUCCUCGAUUUUACCGGUGGAAUGCUUAGUAUGCUACAGAUUUUACUAAACGGAUACAAUUACGAUGACUGGGUGUCCAUAUUCGGUGAUCCCACAAAAUUCGGUCUGGGCCUAUUUUCGGUGUGUUUCGAUAUUUUAUUUAUGGUUCAACAUUAUGGUCUUUACAGACACAGCAGAAAAACAGUAAAAAAAGAUGAGAAUGUGAUUGAAAGUGAUAAUAAAGUUGAA